ACAUGGUAGGGGAGCUGGAGGAACCUGCCGUCUCUGCCAUCGAGUGCCCCUCCGAGCUGGGGUUGGACGCUGCCCGUUUGCAUAGGAGCAGGUUGGAUCUAUGAACACGAGACACAGAAACACCAGCUGGAGGAGCCCAGGAGGCCUAGCGGGUGAGGUUAUCCACAGAACAGGGACGCCGCCCUAGUCCAUGGAUCACUGAGUGCCCGGACCAGGGCUUCAGGGGGUUCCAGCUGAGGCUUUGUGAACCGGAUCCUGGGUCACUGAGUACCCAGACUGGGCUCAGGAGGUUCUGGCCGAGGCUGUGUGAACUGGAUCCUGGGUCACUGAGUGCCCGGACCAGGGGUUCAGGAGGUUCCGGCCAAGGCUUUGUGAACCGGAUCCUGGGUCACUGAGUACCCAGACUGGGCUCAGGAGGUUCUGGCUGAGGCUUUGUGAACCGGAUCCUCCUCUUUGCAUUUCAAACAGCAGGAACCAUCUUAGUCCAUGGGCCACUGAGUGCCCGGACCAGGGCCCCGGGGCUUCCUGACAGCAGGAACAACAGGAGUCAUUCAAACCCUGGAGCCCAGAGGCCAGGACGGGAGUGGCCUUUGCUCCCCCAUGGGCAGGCCAGGGAGGUGGACAGGCCGGGAGCCUGAAGCCUGAGCAGCCGGAGGCUCGCUCAUUUUCCUGUGGUCACUGUGUUCCCGGAGCCUCAACAUGAGGCCAAUUGUCCCACGGGGCGGUGCCUG
Molecule: long non-coding RNA, 731 nt
Filed under: Pongo abelii (Sumatran orangutan)
Lineage: Eukaryota; Metazoa; Chordata; Mammalia; Primates; Hominidae
Description: lincRNA
Source: RNAcentral